AGAGUUUGAUUAUGGCUCAGGAUGAACGCUAGCUACAGGCUUAACACAUGCAAGUCGAGGGGUAGCAGGGUAGCAAUACCGCUGACGACCGGCGCACGGGUGAGUAACACGUAUCCAACCUUCCCAUAACUCAGGGAUAGCCUUUCGAAAGAAAGAUUAAUACCUGAUAGUACUUUUUCAAGGCAUCUUGAGAAAGUUAAAGAUUUAUUGGUUAUGGAUGGGGAUGCGUUCCAUUAGAUAGUUGGUGAGGUAACGGCUCACCAAGUCUUCGAUGGAUAGGGGUUCUGAGAGGAAGGUCCCCCACAUUGGUACUGAGACACGGACCAAACUCCUACGGGAGGCAGCAGUGAGGAAUAUUGGUCAAUGGGUGAGAGCCUGAACCAGCCAAGUAGCGUGAAGGAUGAAGGUCCUAUGGAUUGUAAACUUCUUUUAUAGUAGAAUAAAGUGAUCCACGUGUGGAUUUUUGUAUGUAUACUAUGAAUAAGGAUCGGCUAACUCCGUGCCAGCCGCUGC
Molecule: ribosomal RNA, 513 nt
Filed under: uncultured bacterium
Lineage: Bacteria
Description: bacterial SSU rRNA
Rfam family: Bacterial small subunit ribosomal RNA
Source: RNAcentral